Long non-coding RNA from Schistocerca americana (American grasshopper), 448 nucleotides. RefSeq lists it as uncharacterized. The record is from RefSeq and is a predicted model, not a curated record. The transcript has 2 exons. NCBI's taxonomy places the organism in Eukaryota, Metazoa, Arthropoda, Insecta, Orthoptera, Acrididae.
CGCUCAGAACCGUUGAGUGUGGCAGCACGCCAUUCCACCAACACUCUAGUAGUAGCUUCGGGCGGCAGUAGAUACAGACUUGAGGCGAACGGGCCGCGGCUGGGCAAUGGAUGACACGUGGAAACUCAUCAUCAUUAUGCACUUGCUGGCGGCCGUCUCAGGACAGCCUGUAUAAAGACGGAACUGGAAAUAGACAUUAUUUUCUACAAUACAUAUGACUGCUUCCCAUUCCACUGACAGAAGACGCAUGAUCUCUAGUUACGAUUCCAUUUGGCCGCCUGCGCCAAGGGUACUCCGGAAAUAAUGUCACGUCUCCGUUUCCAUGACAAUUUGGAUGAAAAUAAUACUAAUGGCAAAAUAUUGUUAAAAUUUGCCUCCAUCUUUCCUCAGUUUUCAUUUCAAAUAUAUCUAUCAUGUAUCUAACAAUAAAAGUUGUCCAUCUUUUGCA